GACUUUUCUCUGUUUAUUCACUGGAGAAAUCAAUACUGAUAUAUCCACAGUGGGUUUAGGUGGGAUCUUGGGACUGGGUUCUGCUCUGCGUGCCUCUGCGCUGUGGUUGGGAAUCGCAUCAUUGUGGCAGGGAAAGGCUGAACCUCAUCCUCCUACCCAUGGGAGACACCUGCAGCACUCUGAGCCCCCCCCAGUCAUGUUCGUUUGCUGCAGAGGAUGAGAAAAAUCUGGAAGGAGUUGUGGGGAGGUUGCCAUGAGCUUGAGGAUCAGCAGAGCAGGGCGGAGGUGGGCUGGGAAGGAGACCUGCAUGUCAUUGUCACCUGCUUCCACUGUGACAGCACGGUGACAAACGGCUUUGUGACAUUCCCCUGCACUGCUCUGACAACCCAUCAGCAAGGUGCAAACAGCAAAGUGUUGCAUGAUAAGGGGCCUGGCAUAACGACUCAGGAGAAUGUGCAGACCUGUGCUGACAUCAGGAUUGUUCACACACUGAUCAUCGCUGCUGUGAACAAAAGGAUCCCGGCCCCUCAUCUGCUCCCCAUGCUGCCAAGACUAAGUGUCCCAUCACACCCUACAACUGCAUGGAGUGGGACAGGGCAUGGAGAUGUCCCAUGGCUUCACCAGUGCUUCUUGCAUGAACGUCAACAUCCAUGACAUCGGUGAAGACAGACUAAGGAGACAUCCAACGUUUUGUCACUCAGGGGACAGUUUUCUGCAUGCCAUGACUGGCAGGUGUCUUGUAACAUGACAGGAGGUGGCAGAAGACCAGCUAUGAGACCUGACGUGCGUCAGUGCUGUACUCCUAACGGAGUCUCCAAGGGGAAUCCUAACAAAGUAGACUGCCAGAGACGCUCACCUGGUCCACAGCUUUGAUAGGAGCAAAAAGUCAUGGGAGAAUGGUGUGAGAAAACAGGUUAUGAACGGGCUGAACUUGCCCACAGGCCAUGGCGUGAGCACCCCUGAGCUGUGGAGAAAGCUCAAGUCCUGGAGCAUCAGCGUUUGUGUCUGAGUGAUACGGGCUGGCAGGCUGCACAGAUACCUCCAGCCCUGCCUUUUUGCACAUCCAGCUGCAAUCACAAGAAUCUGUAAACAGUCAAAAAAAAUACAAAAACAUGAUUUUUUUUUUCUUUCUACAAGCCACCUGCCGCCUGUCAAUGUGGAGCACAACCCUUUGUGUAGCAAGUCCAAUAAACAAAACCGUAAAGCAUCUGUCCUGCA
This 1218-nucleotide long non-coding RNA is filed under the name Anser brachyrhynchus (Pink-footed goose). RNAcentral's name for it is "lncRNA (ENSABRG00000020156.1)". Lineage: Eukaryota; Metazoa; Chordata; Aves; Anseriformes; Anatidae. The record is from RNAcentral.